CGCUCUCGGCGUGCCGGGGGCUCCUUCCUCAGCCGGCCGGGUGGUUUUUUCUCUUCCUUUUACGCCACCCUCCCUGCCUCUCCCAGGUUAGGCUCCUAGGCACUUCCAAGUUUCUCUCUACACCCCCCAAGGAGUAGAAACUCGCUUUUCUUACAAGCUGACACCCUUACGUAUGUGCACAGCUCUUGAAGGCUCAGUAACACUGGUGCUGAUGGCACAGUGUGGUGGGGUUCAAAGCCGUGGCUGCUUUGUUGGUGCAGUGCCAGACUCCACAGCAGCAGUCCCUCGUGUGCCCGCUGGACACAGCUGUGUGUCCCAGCCUACACUGCUCUCCUGACCCCCCACUCAGCACAUCUCCCUGCCAAGAAGCUCUUCCUGAUCUUUGGCCUACAUUUUCUUCACUUAACCCUGCGAGGAGUCUGACUUGUCUGCAACUUGUGCAUGGCUCUUCAUCCUCCAUGGGCUGCCGUCACACACUGCCUUAAUGCCUGACAGGCCAGCCUGGCCACACAAGGAUGUCCAAGCCAUAGCUGAGCUCUGAGCUCGGGCAGUGCCACCACUUCUCCUUCCUGCACCCUUCUAGACCCGGCAUCCUGGCACUAGGGUCUGAGGAGGGAGUCACCUGCCUGGCAUUCCUCCCUGGGACCAGCCUUCUCUGGGAACCUGCCAUUCUGUCAGCCCCAUGGCAAAGCCGUGACCCAGGCACGCACUUCCUCUUGCCAAAGAACGACUGCCCACAUUUCUGGUGGGAAAAUUCAAGCGGCUGGAACAGCAUGUGCCCUAAGCCAAACACUAGAUACGAUUGUAUUGGCAGCAGUGCAGUGAUGCCAUGCAGCCUGAGCCUGUCUUCCUCCAGGAGAAAUCCCAUGUCAGCCUGACCCACCGGCUGGCUAUCCUGACCCCUUCCUUCCCUCCCUCCUUCCUCCCCCACUGAGGCACAGGCCAUCAGGACACCAAGGCUCCCUUUUGGUGCAUCCCAAAGUUGUCCUUCCCUGCCCACAGACUGCCCACACAGUCCCUGCUCUGUCAACAUGUCCCAGCCUGACCCGGCCAUGACGGGCAGUUGAUGCUUGCGGCAAGAGUGGCUGCAUUACAGCCACAGUUGUUUGAGUCAGCUGAGGGUUUAAUCCCUCUGGUUUGCAGUCAAGCAUGGCAGCUCCGCUGCAUGCCUGUUUUGCACCAUGAACACCCGUUUUCCACAGAGCUGCCUGAGCCAUGAGCUGCACAACACCUGUUUCUGCCUGCUGCCCUGCUCCCCAGCCUCCCUGACAGCCUCCUGCCUGGAAACAACAACGGCCCCACUGCAGCCUGUGUGCCACAGUGGGGAAUGGCAGACCAAGGACAUGCAGGAGCCAAAAUCAGGACCUUGGUGAACGUAGAGAGGAUGGGAGCAGGGAGGGAGAGCUGCUCUGAGGAGUGCCUGACCUUCCUUGGGCUUACAUGAAGGACUGAUGUAGUGUUUGCAGUGUGUCGAUCAGCUCCCCAGGGAGUUCGGGCAGUUGCAGCUGGGCAUGGGAGCUCAGUGCACAGAGUAUCCCAUGGGGAUGUUGCAUCUAUACCCAUAUUUGUGGGGUUUGUUUGUAAAGGGCUGAGCUGUGUAGCCAGCAAACAUCUCUCCCUUCACGCAGUGGAGUGACCUUCCAUGCCAACAGCAGUUACACUCAGUCUUCUGUUAUCCAUUGGUCAUACCCUGAACAUGGGGCUGUAACACCCAGCAUACAGCAGUGGCCACCUGCCUUCCCUGUAGAGGGCUGCCUGUUGGCCAGAGGAGGGAGAUUGUGGCUCUGACAGAAAUGCGCCUGCUAGCUCACUCAGCAUUCAGGCCUGUGGGCUUACUUCCAUCCUGACCACUCGUGCCUAACUUCAUUUGAAGGGUAUCUGUGGCCCAAAGAAAGGAGUGCAGAGCAGCCUUCCUCCUAAGGACACGAUGCCUAAGGAAUACACUGUGAAAUCUGGCCUUGUGAGCAUUUCCAGGUCCAGAAAUCACACCUGUGGGCCAGCCUCUCCCCUCUCUUUAACUUGCCAGACCCCAGAAACCAGCAGGUGCUUGAGUCUGCUCCUCUCACUUGAGCUUUAUGUACUUUCUUAGCAGCCUGAGAAACGGAAAAAAAAAGACCUUGAAAGACACUCUCUGCUGGCUGUGUGAGCAGCACUGUUUGCAGACAGGGUCCAGUCCAAUCCUAAGUACUCUCCACAAAAUUGUAGAAACUGCUAUCAAUGAACUUGGUUUUUUUGAUCAGGAAACUCGGAGAACAUAUAUCCAAGUUUAUUUCAGCAUUUCAAAAGUCUCUCCCAUCCCCAAAACUGAGGCCAUCCUAAUUGCUUUAUGAAGGCCUGUUUUAUAUUUCUGAGGUCUUCAUGUUGACUUCACUGAAAUCUGGAUCAAGCUCUGAACUCUUUAAAGUUAGCAUCUCAUCUGUACAUUAUUUACAAGCAGAAUGUGAUGCAUCACAUUGGCCCAUCAUAGAAAGUACAGAUUAAUAUUCAAGUGCAGGAUGAGUGUUUUCAUUGGCAAGGCAACUAACAUGGAGACUUCUUAUAAAAAGCGGUUGCUAGUUCUUCAGGAGUUGUAAUAUUUCUUUUUUGAUUAGCUAGAUAAUGUCAACUUCAAGUGCUGCUUUCUGUAUUUCCUACCACAUCUACAGAUUCAGAGAACUAAAUCAUAAAUGUUUUUGCUUCCAAAUGAUUAACUGUUCAAAUAAAGCACUGUCAUGUUGCUCCACUUUUAACAUUGGUGCUGUGAAUUAACCUGGAGACAUUGCAAUGAACAUUUAUCCCAUUUUAGCUUAACACACGUGACACUUUGCUUCAGUCCUCUAGAUUUGGCUUGCUCCUUGCUGCUUCUCUCUGCUUUUUGCAGAGAAACUGGGGCUUUCUUUCAUGUCUUGCUGUUUAGAGUGCUAGGCACAUGCCUAAAAAAAUAAUUUGCACUUUUUCCUUCUUCUUUUUAAGGCUCUUGCUUUGGCAUUUUUCAGUCACGCCUUGGAGAGACACCCGAAAGGAAAGAAAACAGUACCUGGAUGUUAGCUUGUGCAAUGUUUCUAAUUAAACCUUUCAUAAUGACAAAAA
Pezoporus occidentalis (night parrot) is the source of this 3069-nucleotide long non-coding RNA. RefSeq lists it as uncharacterized. The record is from RefSeq and is a predicted model, not a curated record. The transcript has 2 exons. Lineage: Eukaryota; Metazoa; Chordata; Aves; Psittaciformes; Psittacidae.